UGGGGAAUAUUGCACAAUGGGCGAAAGCCUGAUGCAGCAACGCCGCGUGAGUGAUGAAGGCCUUCGGGUUGUAAAGCUCUGUCUUUUGGGACGAUAAUGACGGUACCAAAGGAGGAAGCCACGGCUAACUACGUGCCAGCAGCCGCGGUAAUACGUAGGUGGCAAGCGUUGUCCGGAUUUACUGGGCGUAAAGGAUGCGUAGGCGGAUUUUUAAGUGAGAUGUGAAAACCCUAAGCUUAACUUGGGGACUGCAUUUCAUACUGGAAAUCUAGAGUGCGGGAGAGGAGAAUGGAAUUCCUAGUGUAGCGGUGAAAUGCGUAGAGAUUAGGAAGAACACCAGUGGCGAAGGCGAUUCUCUGGACCGUAACUGACGCUGAGGCAUGAAAAGCGUGGGUAGCAAAACAGGAUUAGAUACCCUGGUAGUCCACGCCGUAAAACGAUGAGUACUAGGUGUAGGAGGUAUCGACCCCUUCUGUGCCGCAGUUAACACAAUAAGUACUCCGCCUGGGAAGUACGAUCGCAAGAUUAAAAACUCAAAUGAAUUGAC
RNAcentral lists this ribosomal RNA (547 nucleotides) under uncultured bacterium. Its description in RNAcentral is "partial 16S ribosomal RNA". It matches the Rfam family "Bacterial small subunit ribosomal RNA", at positions 355 to 914 of the family's 1533-position model. The record is from RNAcentral.